This 248-nucleotide ribosomal RNA is filed under the name uncultured bacterium. Its description in RNAcentral is "partial 16S ribosomal RNA". It matches the Rfam family "Bacterial small subunit ribosomal RNA", at positions 335 to 600 of the family's 1533-position model. The record is from RNAcentral.
ACGCCUACGGGGGGCAGCAGUGGGGAAUAUUGCACAAUGGGGGAAACCCUGAUGCAGCGACGCCGCGUGAGUGAAGAAGUAAUCCGUUACGUAAAGCUCUAUCAGCAGGGAAGAGAAUGACGGUACCUGGGUAAGAAGCCCCGGCUAACUACGUGCCAGCAGCCGCGGAAAUACGUAGGGGGCAAGCGUUAUCCGGGUUUACUGGGGGUAAAGGGAGCGUAGACGGCAGAGAAAGUCUGAAGUGAAAG